Molecule: non-coding RNA, 685 nt
Organism: Labrus bergylta (ballan wrasse)
Lineage: Eukaryota; Metazoa; Chordata; Actinopteri; Labriformes; Labridae
Source: RefSeq, a predicted model, not a curated record
CACUUUACUGAAGUUAACAACUAAGCUUUCUUUGCGGCCUCCCUUCAGGUGCGGCCUCCCUUCAGGUGCGGCCUCCCUUCAGGUGGGGCUCCCUUCAGGUGGGGCUCCUGCAGCUGAUGAUUCAGUUCAAAGACACAUGGGCAGCCUGACCAAAACAAGAUGAAGUGCUGUUAGCAUGUCUGCUACACCACGCUGCCUCACUUCCUUCAACAUUUGGUGUUUCCUCGCUCUGAACUCCGAAGGAGUUUCUUCGGAUUAAAGUUUACCUGUUCCUGUUGGACCUUGUGUUUUUUUUGUCUUGUCAGCAUCUUCAAUUCCUAAUAGAUGUUUUGUAGUAGUUUCCUUUGUCACACAGUUGUGAACUUGAAGUGUUAGAUUUGUUAUCUUGUAUAAAACAAAUUUUCCAUUAGGAAACAUGUUUAUUUGUACAUAAUUAAAGACUACUAGAAACAAGUUUCCUCAGGAAUAAUGAAAGUGGUAAACUACUAUAAAUAAAACACAGCUGGCAGAUGAACUGAGCACAGAUGUAACACAAGUCACUGAUGCAGAAUGGAUACAGCAGUAGUUUUAUUACAAUAUUGAACAGACAUGACCUGUGUUUUUCUACAUGUUACAUCAGCACAAGAAGGUGUCACAGCAUCCCCAUUGGAUAGGAGACUCAAAGGGUUCUUAAUGUUUAAUUAUG